GUCAGGAUGGCCGAGUGGUUUAAGGUGCUGGACUCAAGUUUUUUGUCCUCGUGAGAGGGCGUGGGUUCAAAUCCCACUUCUGACA
This 85-nucleotide transfer RNA is filed under the name Ipomoea nil (Japanese morning glory). It matches the Rfam family "tRNA". Rfam says of the family: Transfer RNA (tRNA) molecules are approximately 80 nucleotides in length. The record is from Rfam by way of RNAcentral. Lineage: Eukaryota; Viridiplantae; Streptophyta; Magnoliopsida; Solanales; Convolvulaceae.